This is a long non-coding RNA of Amphimedon queenslandica, 151 nucleotides long. RefSeq lists it as uncharacterized. Lineage: Eukaryota; Metazoa; Porifera; Demospongiae; Haplosclerida; Niphatidae. The record is from RefSeq and is a predicted model, not a curated record. The transcript is spliced from 2 exons.
ACAUAUUGUAUUUAUAUUAUUAGUAAAAAUGUUGAUCAGUUAGACACAAUGGAUGAAUCAUUUACUGAUCUUGAUUCUACUCUCAAUACUUGUACACUAUCAGUAGCUCCUCCUUUUCCUCCUACUCCAAUGAGAGCUCCUCCCACUAAAA